RNAcentral lists this non-coding RNA (45 nucleotides) under Schistosoma mansoni. The record is from RNAcentral. Lineage: Eukaryota; Metazoa; Platyhelminthes; Trematoda; Strigeidida; Schistosomatidae.
AUCCAGAUGACGAGUUUGAAAAAGAACGAGACGCGCGUCCUGGAU